UUUUUACAACGAAGAGUUUGAUCCUGGCUCAGGAUGAACGCUAGCGGCAGGCCUAACACAUGCAAGUCGAGGGGUAACGA
RNAcentral lists this ribosomal RNA (80 nucleotides) under Bacteroidota bacterium. RNAcentral describes it as "Bacteroidetes bacterium partial 16S ribosomal RNA". It matches the Rfam family "Bacterial small subunit ribosomal RNA", at positions 1 to 75 of the family's 1533-position model. The record is from RNAcentral. Lineage: Bacteria; Pseudomonadati; Bacteroidota.